Molecule: small nuclear RNA, 160 nt
Organism: Erinaceus europaeus (western European hedgehog)
Lineage: Eukaryota; Metazoa; Chordata; Mammalia; Eulipotyphla; Erinaceidae
Gene: U1
Rfam family: U1 spliceosomal RNA
About the family: U1 is a small nuclear RNA (snRNA) component of the spliceosome (involved in pre-mRNA splicing).
Source: Ensembl
GCACUUACCUGGCAGGGGAGAUACCAUGAUCAGGAAAGUGGUUUUUCCUAGGGUGAGGCUUAUCCAUUGCACUCCGGAUGUGCUGACUCCUGCGAUUUCCCCAAAUGUGGGAAAUUAGACUGCAUAAUUUGUGGCAGUGGAGGACUGUGUUUGCACUCUA